Molecule: ribosomal RNA, 1310 nt
Filed under: human gut metagenome
Description: bacterial LSU rRNA
Rfam family: Bacterial large subunit ribosomal RNA
Source: RNAcentral
GGUCAGAUGUACCACGGGAGUCAGACAGUGGGUGCUAAGGUCCAUUGUCGAGAGGGUAAGAGCCCAGAUCAACAGCUAAGGUCUCCAAAUAUAUGCUCAGUGGUUAAGGUGGUGACGUUGUAGAGACACCCAGGACGUUGGCUUAGAAGCAGCCAUCGUUUAAAGAAAGCGUAAUAGCUCACUGGUCUAAUGACGUUGCGCCGAAAAUGUAACGGGGCUAAGCAUAUUACCGAAGCUUUGAAUUCCGCGUAUGCGGUCUGGUAGGGGAGCGUUCUUCACGGGCUGAAGGUGUGUUGUAAAGCAUGCUGGACUGUGGAGAAGUGAUUAUGCUGACAUGAGUAACGAUAAAACGGGUGAAAAACCCGUUCGCCGUAAACCCAAGGUUUCCUGGGUAAAGGUAAUCUUCCCAGGGUUAGUCGGCCCCUAAGGCAAGGCUGAAAGGCGUAGCUGAUGGGAAACGUGUUAAUAUUCACGUACUUGUGUGUUCGCGCGAAGGAGGGACGCAGGAAGAUAGGCGAUCCGGGUGUUGGAUUACCCGGUGCAAGCGAGUAGGCAUGGGAAGCAGGCAAAUCCGUUUCCCUGUAUGCUGAGACGCGAGUCCGUGGGCGUAAGCCCUGAAGUCGCUGAGUCUAUGCUGCCAAGAAAAGCUUCUAAGUUUAGAACACGCAAACCGUACCGGAAACCAACUCAGGUGGGUGGGAUGAAUAAUCCAAGGCGCUCGAGAGAACUCUGGCCAAGGAACUCGGCAAAAUAACCCCGUACCUUCGGAAGAAGGGGUGCUCCUUUAGGUGAAGCGAUUCACUUGUUGAGCCUGAGGGAGCCGCAGAGAAAUGGUGGUGGCGACUGUUUACUAAAAACAUAGGUCUGUGCGAAGUCGUAAAGACGACGUAUACGGACUGACGCCUGCCCGGUGCCGGAAGGUUAAAAGGAGGGGUCAGCGCAAGCGAAGCUCCGAAUUGAAGCCCCGGUAAACGGCGGCCGUAACUAUAACGGUCCUAAGGUAGCGAAAUUCCUUGUCGGGUAAGUUCCGACCUGCACGAAUGGCGUAACGAUCUCCACACUGUCUCGGCCAGAGACUCGGUGAAAUUGCAGUCGCGGUGAAAAUUCCGUGUACCCGCAGAAAGACGGAAAGACCCUGUGCACCUUUACUAUAGCUUGACAUUGGAUUUUGGGCCUGCAUGUGUAGGAUAGGUGGGAGGCAGUGAACCCUGUACGCCAGUAUGGGGGGAGCCAUCCUUGAAAUACCACCCUUGCAUGUCUAAGAUCCUAACUUCUACCGGUUAUCCCGGAGAAAGACAGUGUCUGGCGGG